RNAcentral lists this non-coding RNA (625 nucleotides) under Pongo abelii (Sumatran orangutan). The record is from RNAcentral. Lineage: Eukaryota; Metazoa; Chordata; Mammalia; Primates; Hominidae.
GGCAGUCAGAUCCGAACUGGAACUCCGCCACAACCCAGGAAUGUGAAUACCAGUGGACUCCGGAUAGGAGGGCGUGACCAAGGCAGUGGCUCCCAGGGGAUGCCAAUGCUGUGGGCCAAGGCCCACGCUGGAGGAACACUGGCCAGUGGGCAGCUUUGGGGGACCUUUAAAGUGGGUGGAAGCACAGCUGCCCAGCCUGCGCCCACGGCUGCUGCAGGAUCAGGAAACACAGCACACUCCUAAGUGAGUCGUCACCAUGGUGACUUUUGGAUUCCCAUUGCCAGUUCCUGUGGAGUCAGAGAGAUCUUAGCUCAGAAGUGCUGACAGCAGGGGCUGGCUGGCCACUGGCCACAUGGGAAGAGGAGAAAGGCAGCAGGAGCCACCGUGAGGCAAAUGAGCUACAAGACGCCGCUCUGUGUGACUUCCCUCCACAGCUCCCAACACAGGUGAAAUUGGCUCAGAACAGCUCAGCAUGUCCUACUGAGGGGCAAGAAGGAUGCUGAGAAAAUCCCAGGCAGCGUCUCAGCUGGGAUGUAAUUUGAGGGUGAAAAAGGUGUGUUGCUUGCGGUCUCUUCCUUGCUCCUUGCAGGUUAUAUUUGAAAUGAAUGUCAGAGCCAUGCAGCCG